CCUACGGGUGGCAGCAGUGAGGAAUAUUGGUCAAUGGACGAGAGUCUGAACCAGCCAAGUAGCGUGAAGGAUGACUGCCCUAUGGGUUGUAAACUUCUUUUAUAUGGGAAUAAAACGUUCCACGUGUGGGAUUUUGUAUGUACCAUAUGAAUAAGGAUCGGCUAACUCCGUGCCAGCAGCCGCGGUAAGACGGAGGAUCCGAGCGUUAUCCGGAUUUAUUGGGUUUAAAGGGAGCGUAGGUGGAUUGUUAAGUCAGUUGUGAAAGUUUGCGGCUCAACCAUAAAAUUGCAGUUGAAACUGGCAGUCUUGAGUACAGUAGAGGUGGGCGGAAUUCGUGGUGUAGCGGUGAAAUGCUUAGAUAUCACGAAGAACUCCGAUUGCGAAGGCAGUUCACUGGACUGCAACUGACACUGAGGCUCGAAAGUGUGGGUAUCAAACAGGAGUAGAUACCCGAGUAGUC
Molecule: ribosomal RNA, 460 nt
Filed under: uncultured bacterium
Lineage: Bacteria
Description: partial 16S ribosomal RNA
Rfam family: Bacterial small subunit ribosomal RNA
Source: RNAcentral